AACUGAACACAGGGGUGCUGGAGAGAACUCCGGCUGAGAUGCGGGGCUGUGACUGCCCUCUUUCCCUUAAACCUGAUCCGGGUAAUGCCGGCGUAGGAAGUGAACGAUCUGUCUUU
Non-coding RNA from Oscillibacter sp. 57_20, 116 nucleotides. The record is from Rfam. Lineage: Bacteria; Bacillati; Bacillota; Clostridia; Eubacteriales; Oscillospiraceae.